CUAAUUAGUUUCUAGUCAAUUUCUACGUUCAGAAAAGCUAUUAUGGGAACCCGAUACUCUAAAAUUAAUUUCAUAAUAUUUUUAUUUUAGUAGAUUAAAAGAGACAGUUUAAUGCACUAAGACCCCGCUAUAUGUAGGAUUCGAGAUUUGAGGAAGGGCCGAACUACAAAGGUCUAUUAUGUGCAGUCUUACCUUACAUCUAUACUAGAGGUUGUUUCCACAGCUCAAACUCGUAACUUUCUGAUUAUAUAAUAGCAACUUUAUCAAUUACGGCAAGACUCUACUUUAAUGUUUUAGUAGAUUGUUUUUAAUUAUCAAUGUUUGUCCUUAGCCGCCUAUUACCUUUAAUAGAUAUUUA
RNAcentral lists this long non-coding RNA (358 nucleotides) under Nicotiana benthamiana. Its description in RNAcentral is "long non-coding RNA (NBEN_LNC025069)". Lineage: Eukaryota; Viridiplantae; Streptophyta; Magnoliopsida; Solanales; Solanaceae. The record is from RNAcentral.